RNAcentral lists this ribosomal RNA (253 nucleotides) under uncultured bacterium. RNAcentral describes it as "partial 16S ribosomal RNA". It matches the Rfam family "Bacterial small subunit ribosomal RNA", at positions 524 to 776 of the family's 1533-position model. The record is from RNAcentral.
UACGUAGGGGGCUAGCGUUGUCCGGAAUUACUGGGCGUAAAGAGCUCGUAGGUGGUUUGUCGCGUUGUUCGUGAAAACUCACAGCUCAACUGUGGGCGUGCGGGCGAUACGGGCAGACUAGAGUACUGCAGGGGAGACUGGAAUUCCUGGUGUAGCGGUGGAAUGCGCAGAUAUCAGGAGGAACACCGGUGGCGAAGGCGGGUCUCUGGGCAGUAACUGACGCUGAGGAGCGAAAGCGUGGGGAGCAAACAGG